AUACGUAGGGGACGAGCGUUGUCCGGAAUGAUUGGGCGUAAAGGGCGCGUAGGCGGCCCGGUAAGUCUGGAGUGAAAGUCCUGCUUUUAAGGUGGGAAUUGCUUUGGAUACUGUCGGGCUUGAGUGCAGGAGAGGUAAGUGGAAUUCCCAGUGUAGCGGUGAAAUGCGUAGAGAUUGGGAGGAACACCAGUGGCGAAGGCGACUUACUGGACUGUAACUGACGCUGAGGCGCGAAAGUGUGGGGAGCAAACAGGAUUAGAUACCCUGGUAGUCCACACUGUAAACGAUGAAUGCUAGGUGUAGGGGGUAUCGACCCCUUCUGUGCCGCAGUUAACACAAUAAGCAUUCCGCCUGGGGAGUACGGCCGCAAGGUUGAAACUCAAAUGAAUUGGCGGGG
Molecule: ribosomal RNA, 397 nt
Filed under: uncultured bacterium
Lineage: Bacteria
Description: partial 16S ribosomal RNA
Rfam family: Bacterial small subunit ribosomal RNA
Source: RNAcentral